This 249-nucleotide ribosomal RNA is filed under the name uncultured bacterium. Its description in RNAcentral is "partial 16S ribosomal RNA". It matches the Rfam family "Bacterial small subunit ribosomal RNA", at positions 333 to 597 of the family's 1533-position model. The record is from RNAcentral.
CUCCUCCUACGGGAGGCAGCAGAGGGGUAUAUUGCACAAUGGGGGAAACCCUGAUGCAGCGACGCCGCGUGGGCGAAGAAGUAUUUCGGUAUGUAAAGCCCUCUCAGCAGGGAAGAAGAAAUGACGGUACCUGAGUAAGAAGCACCGGCUAAAUACGUGCCAGCAGCCGCGGUAAUACGUAUGGGGCAAGCGUUAUCCGGAUUUACUGGGUGUAAAGGGAGCGCAGGCGGCACGGCAAGCCUGAUGUGA